AUACUAUAGAAAACUUGCUUAUAACACCGUAUUACUUGAUAUAUGGUAUUACUAUGGAAUCCUCUACUAUAAGAUGGUUAGACCCCUGAGAGGGUGUGCUUUGUGGGAUUUAGUUCAGAGUAUCAACAACUGAGAGAUGAGAAUGAGCAGGUCAGCCAUUGUUCAGCAGCCAUGUCAGAACGUAGAGUGUUAGAGCUACUUUACACGUGUCUGGUUGCAGAUGGUGACCUACACCGCGUUCAGACUCUUCCCCUCGCCAGUGCCUAGGCUAAAGCUGCCUACCACCAGGUUCCAGCAGUACAGACACACUACAACCGACUGGUGGACAACAUGAGCCAGGACUCAAGCCAGGUAAUACAGACAGAGCUGUAUGACCAAGCAGUUGGUUAAUGUGAACCAAAGAUUCUAGUACAGUAAAGUCCCAUUGAAAUCUGUAGAUUACUAAGGGGCUUGAUCUCUGCACAAUGUAAGGAUGUGCUCCUAUCUUCCCAGCACUAUCACAGUGGAUGAUUUCACUGCCAGGUUGUUCAGGUAAGGUAUUGCUCUGUCACACAAAAAAUUUAUGUUGAUGAAUUUUCUCAUGCAAGUUUCCAGUCCAUAGCUUUGGGUCUGAAUUGCUCAGACUACAUGCUGAAGCAAAGUGGGGAUGGGAGCCCCCUUGAAGCAGAUAGCAGAUAGGGAUUAACACCAUUGCUGCCGGUGGCUGUGGUGUUUCUGCCCGCACACCGACGUCCACCGGCAACAUCCUGAAGAGGGCUGGUCAGUUGGAGAAAAGCAAACAUAUCCUAGACAACAACCCUCCUGCAGGUCUGGCACAAGACCUGGGACCUCUACGGCUCAGAGAAGGAAGUUGUCAUGUUUCUGGUUGAAGAGUUCCAAAGAAGCAUCUUUGGCCGUAGAUAUACUGAGAACGAUCUAUGGAACAAGUAAGUUUGGUUGUAUUCCUUGGUGCUUAUUAGUCAAGUGAAUCGUUAUC
Molecule: non-coding RNA, 976 nt
Organism: Salvelinus sp. IW2-2015
Lineage: Eukaryota; Metazoa; Chordata; Actinopteri; Salmoniformes; Salmonidae
Source: RefSeq, a predicted model, not a curated record